Molecule: ribosomal RNA, 242 nt
Filed under: uncultured bacterium
Lineage: Bacteria
Description: partial 16S ribosomal RNA
Rfam family: Bacterial small subunit ribosomal RNA
Source: RNAcentral
CGACCGGCGCACGGGUGAGUAACGCGUAUCCAACCUGCCUUACACUCUUGGACAGCCUUCUGAAAGGGAGAUUAAUACAAGAUGUUAUCAUGAGUAAGCAUUUUCACAUGAUUAAAGGUUUACCGGUGUAGGAUGGGGAUGCGUUCCAUUAGAUAGUAGGCGGGGUAACGGCCCACCUAGUCUUCGAUGGAUAGGGGUUCUGAGAGGAAGGUCCCCCACAUUGGAACUGAGACACGGUCCAA